Molecule: ribosomal RNA, 253 nt
Filed under: uncultured bacterium
Lineage: Bacteria
Description: partial 16S ribosomal RNA
Rfam family: Bacterial small subunit ribosomal RNA
Source: RNAcentral
UACGUAGGGUGCGAGCGUUAAUCGGAAUUACUGGGCGUAAAGCGUGCGCAGGCGGUUUUGUAAGCCAGAUGUGAAAUCCCCGGGCUUAACCUGGGAAUGGCAUUUGGGACUGCAAGGCUUGAGUGCGGCAGAGGAGACUGGAAUUCCUGGUGUAGCAGUGAAAUGCGUAGAUAUCGGAAGGAACACCAGUGGCGAAAGCGGCUUCCUGGUCCAGCACCGACGUUCAGGCACGAAAGCGUGGGGAGCAAACAGG